Molecule: long non-coding RNA, 5066 nt
Organism: Phyllostomus discolor (pale spear-nosed bat)
Lineage: Eukaryota; Metazoa; Chordata; Mammalia; Chiroptera; Phyllostomidae
Exons: 2
Source: RefSeq, a predicted model, not a curated record
GGAAUUCCAGAGUGCAGACAUGAGUACAGCUACAAAUACAGAUAAAGAUGUCAGAAGUUAAGGCUCUCUUCUUUCUUCUCUUCCCGGGUAUUGCUGUCUAUUCACAAACAAACCGCCUAACUGUGACUGAGAGCUGCCCAGUUCCUCUCCCAUGGAACAGAGCUACACAAAGCACCUGCAAAAUUCAUGUGUUUGGACAGAAAAUGACAGAACUGGAGACAGGUUAACCACCGGGCAACAUGAAAUGCUCUGCAGCUCAGUAACUUAGGAAAGUGAUACUGUGAAAUUUUCCUUUGAAAUAGGAACAAAUUCUAAAUCAGUACUUUCAUGGGGCUGUUUUGUUUGAAUUUAUUCACAUAACCAUAGCAGGGUACUGGAAAGAAGCUAUACCCAACACCUGGGAAUUGAUGUUAUCGCUAAGUAGUUUGGUCUAAAGCCCUUAGAGAUAGUACCUAGGUCUUUUAAGAUUUCUUUGUUUUCUAUGACUUCAUAAACUACUAGUGCUAAAUGACUAAAACAUUGAGGAAUGAAAUAGAUUAGUUUCAGUGUCUUAAAAACCUCUUGAUCUUUAAAUUUGUAUCUUUUUAUUCCUCAGAUACUUCUGGCUCUGACGGGUCCAGAAAUGCCGUUUUAUUUCAGCAUCUCCCUAUGCCCUGACAACGGCCUUCUCUCCCCCUCCCCCAAUUUUCAGAUCUUUCUAAGGGCGAUAUUAAAGAUGAGAGAGCAAGAGAGAACUAAAAUGUGGAUACUCUGAGUAUUCAUUUUUUUAAUUAAGUAAAUAUUGGUGAUGAAAAAACAAAAGCUACAGGUUUCUGUGAUAUAUUUAAAGCCAUAUUUGUCUGUUUAUGAUAGAAAACUUGGGUUUAAGUGACAACUCUCCCUCAUGCUUUCUGCAUUUAUUGAACUUAAAUUCCAUCUCAAUCUAGUUCUAACUCGUUUCUUCAGAGAGAAAGCAAAAGGAUUAUUUUGAAACUGAAUCUUCUCUUGACUACCUACAACCAAAUGUUGUUGGAAAUUAUUAUUAAACCAACCAAAUCAAUGGGAAUCACGUGGUAUCUCCAAAGGACCAUUCAUUCCUUCAUUUAACAAGCUCCCCUAGGCUGUCCAGCCAUUGUGUUCUCAUGUAACAGAAUCCAGAGCUGGAAGGAAGAAAAGGCAAGGGGGUCUUUUUUCAGGGAGAAUAACCUCUUGGGAUAUCUCCUAGCUCACUGUCCUCACGUCCUUGGGCAGAACUUGUACCUCCUCUGGUCAAGCUGCUAGAGGAAAUGUACGAGGUUUCUGUAACUCUCCUAGACCAAUUAUGAGUCGUUCCCUAGACAGGUCUGGGUAUACUGUCACCUGAACAGGAACGGCUGAUAAAUCUUGUGGUGGGAGACAGUGCAUGGGCUUUAUUGGAGAGAAGCUGGUAAGUUUGAACAACUAACAGGUCACACAGGUCACACAGGUCAGUGUUUCUGAACAGGGUAGUAGCAGAAUGGGAUGGUUCAAAUGUGUCAGAAAUAGCCCGGGGUAGAGGGGUUCUCAAGAACUAAACCGCGGAGGAGACUGCAAGUCUGCAGUGUGGGAUGACCAAGGCCACCGUGUACCCCACAUCUCGGAAGGGGCUCUAUCUCCCUGCGUCAUUGUGAGGGAUGAGACUGGUUUGUCUAAAGCACUGGGUGGGGAGUGUGUAUUUUUAGCUUUCUUUUGGGAUGAUUCUGGUUGCCUUUGGGCACGUAGUGGGCCUGUUUGCCUCACUGAGAGAGGGUGUCAGUGUCCAGUGGGCUUGCAAAAGUAAUCUGGGGAUUGUCAGUUGUGUUUCCACCAUUAGAUGCUGAGGGACUCAGUGCCACUACAGUGGACCAAAAGGGCCAGAAGGCCUGCAGUGCUGUGGGUGACGUUCCAGUGUAUCUGCCACAGGCACAGCUUCAGGAGACUCCUGGACAUGUGCAGCUGCCUGUGUCAGUGCCCUGGGUCUUGAAAGAUUUCGGGCUUCUUUAAUGCUCGAGGCAAGGGUGGGCAAUUGAAAGAACUGUUGAGAAAAGCAUUCCAAGUGGCUGCAUCAGUGACUGGGGACAGAGCUGGUAUUUCUGAAGCUCCAGAUAAUAAGGUACCUGUGUGUUUGAAAACAAACAAACAACAACAACAAAAAACCCCUCUGGGUUAAGUAUAGUGGUACAAGGGGGAGAUGCUGCAAAGCAAAGGAUAAAUUUUAGGCUGUUUAAUGUGUUUGUUCUGUGCAACUGGAUUAAAUUGUCCUUUAUCAAGUAUGCAUCACCACGAGCCCCUUCAGAUGUGUUCUUUUUUAAUGACAGUAGAGGACGAGCAGCAAAUUCAUCGCCUAGAACGCUCUUCCCCAUAUGGUUCAAAUGUAAAGUGUGCUGUGAAAACCACUCACAUGUGAUUUGUAAAGUGGACGAGGAGGAGAAACCAUUACUCCCUGGGACCACUGAGGGCAGACACCUGCAUAGAUGUGAAGUUUAUUGCAGCUUCCCAAGGAGUAAUAGGAAUCAUCCAAUUCAGCAUCUCGAAAUGGACUGUUUGCAUACUUGCAUAUAUAAACUAUGUAGGUAUAUGAUUAUACAUAUACUGCAUUGGACAGGAUGCACAAUUAGUUUGGCUGAAGCCAUUUUCCAUCAACAGCUGGCCAGAUGGCAUUAAUGAAAAUGUCUUCUCCUAAACCCUGAAACUAAUACAGUGUUAUAUGUGAAUUAUGCCUCAGUGAUAAAAAAAAAUGUAAAGUGGAAUACAAAUUCUAUUGUGACACUAAGAAUUUUAACAUCUCUUUUGGUUUUGUUUAAUCUCUGUCAGCAAUUGUUUUUUCAGACUCCCAUGCCGACUUAUGAUUAUGGUGGAUACAAGAAAAAAAGAUCGUUUUCACUUGUCUUUAGAUGCUACCAUCCUUUGUGAAAGGAACUGAGGUUUGACCAUCUGUAAUGGAGUGGGCAAUGAGGUAUGAUUACUAGGGGUCCAGAGACAAGAACGAGAGCAGUCAGGAUGGAGGAGUCAUGAGAAGAGACACUGAAAUGGGGAAGUUGCUUAUUUCAAAAAUUGUGGUAAAAUACAUAUAACCCAAAAUUUACCAGCUUAACUACUUUUAAGUGUAUUGUUCAGUCAUGUUAAACAUAGUCAUAAUAUUGUGCAUCCAAUCUCUAGAACUCUUCAUUUUGCAAAACGGAAACUUUAUACCCAUUAAACAACUCUCCACUCCCCCUCCCCCAUCUCUGGCAUCUCCCAACCUCCGCUCUGAGUUCUGUCUCUAGGAAGCUGGCUGCUCCAGGGGCCUCACGCUAUUUCCAUGAGCGGCUGCAGACCUUGCUGUACGACAUCCCCUGACGUGAGUGUGCACUUGAAUUCUGGUGAGGACACUUCCCCUGUGUUCUCUCACCCUAGGGGAGGUCUCCGCUUUCUGCAGCAUUAAUCUCCUGGCAACGUUUCUUCUUUUGCCUUGUUUCUUUACGGCCCUUCCUCAUUUUCACUCUUCCAGCUUUCUAAUACUAGUGUAACCAGUUCCUUCUGUUAGAAGUCAGAAAAGGAUUUCUAUUUUCCUGAUUGAACCUAAUUGAUAGAAGAAACAAAUGAAUAUGUUGAUUUUAAAGGGUGGCAAGUGCUUUGAAGGAGAUGAAAGGGUAAAAUGGAGUUCUUUAGAUAUUUUUUUAAAGCCUUCUUAAAAAGUGAAGUUAUUUGAUACCCUGGCCUGAUGGCUCAGAUGGUUGGAGUAUUGUCCUGUACGCCAAAGUGUUGUGGGUUCGAUCCCCACUCAGGGCACAUACCUAGGUUGUAGGUCUGAUCCCCAGGCGCACACAUAUGGGAGGCCACCAACUGAUGUUCUCUUUCUCUUUCUCUGCCACCCACCCAAGCCCCACUUUCCUCUCUCUCUCUCUGAAAUCAGUAAAAUGUAUCCUCUGGGGAUGAUUAAAUUAAAAAAUAUUUUUUAAAAAUGAAGCUAUUUGAGCUGCAGACUAAAAAGAAGAUAAUAAUGUGGAGAUCUGGGAGAAGUGUGUUUCAGCCAGAGCAGAUAUUCUUUGGAUGAUAAUUAGUGGUAUCUUGAAUUAGAAGGUUGGCAGUAGAGAUAAAGUGAUGGAGUCAAGAUGUAUGUCCGGGUAGAAUUAAAAAAGAAUUGUUUAUGAAAAAUAAAAGUUGGAGGGGAGCAAUACAAGAGGAUGUGCUUGGCUGAACAAUGGCCACCCAGACACACAGGUGGUCAUCCUUGGGACAAGCGAAUGUUACCUUAUUUGACAAAAAGAGGCUUUGCAGAUAUGAUCAAGGAUCUUGAGACAGGGAGGAUUACCCUGUAUUGUCUGAGUAAUUCCUAAAUGGAAUCACCUGUGCCCUUUUUGGAGGGCGGCUUGACAUGAAAGAGAAGGAAACAUGACCUAUGGAGGGGCGUGGGCAGUGUCAGGGGCUAGGAUGCUAGGCACUGGUUCUGAAGAUGAGAGGUGGGGGUCGCCAGCCAAAGAGUAAAGGCAGGUCCCAGAAGGUGAAAAGGCAGGGAAAUUGAUGGUCUCUGGAGGAAGUGCAGACCCCUGCCACCUGACUGUGGCCUAGUGAGAUCCCUUGUGGGCUUCUGGCUUCUAAAACGGUGAGAAAAUUAAUUUGUGUUGUUUUAAGCCACCAAGUUUGUGGUAACUUGUUCUAGGGGUCACCGGAAAGCAAUACAGAAGUGUGGUACAUUUACUAAAAUGAGAUGUAUUGGGAAAAGAUCAGGCAGGUUUGAAGGUGGGAAGUGUCAAAGAAAUAUCACAAGAUCAUUUUCGAACUUGUUGGUCUAAAGAUCUAUGAGUAACUUAAAUUGAAAAGAUUAGUUGACUCUUGAAUGUGUCCUACUUGGAUAUUGGCUGACUUUCUCAGACCUAUUGAUUGUUGUUUUUCAUCAAGUUAGGGAAAUAUUCAAUAUUUGUUUUGUUUCAAUAUUUGUUUUGUUUCAUUAUCUCUUUUUUUCUUAUUUCUGGGACUCCCAUUACUGAAACAUGUUAGACUUCUUAAUAUUAUUCCACAAGCUGUUGAGGCCCUGCUCAUUAAAUUUAUUUUUAUUUUUGAAAUCUGUAUUUAAGUUUGGAAGUUUCUGUUGUCACUGAUUCCUUUCU